This is a non-coding RNA of Malus domestica (apple), 1148 nucleotides long. The record is from RefSeq and is a predicted model, not a curated record. NCBI's taxonomy places the organism in Eukaryota, Viridiplantae, Streptophyta, Magnoliopsida, Rosales, Rosaceae.
GAGAGUUCAUAAACUACUCAACCAAUACAACUUUAGUGCAUAUUAUACGACUCUUACAACUCACAUAGACUCUACGAGGUUAGCUAAUUCUUUGUUUGAGUCUUUGCAGCACAAACUCCCAGUUUUCCAUCAUGGCCCGUGGCCAUGACCUCCUUGCCCCCCGUGACUAGGCCUGGCAUUUUUAACCCAACCCGUUAAACCGACCCGACCCGACCCGUUAAAAUUAGUAUUCGGGUGGGUGGUUAACGGGUCGGGUAGUUAACGGGUCAACCCGUUAGUCACCCAUUACAUAACGGGUCAGUUUGGGUGAACCCGCGAAACCCGUUAACCACCCGUUAAGACCCGUUAGUAAGGAUUUUUGUGUAAUUUCAAUAGCCCUAAUUCAAAACCUCAGGACCUCAGCCAUCAGCCCUUACGUUCCUCACCUCUCUCGCUGCCUCACACGCCAUUGCUCUCUGAGACUGAGAUCGCUGUGCAGCCUGUGCUCCUUCCUUCAAGCUCCGGUUAUCUCCCUCAUCUUCUUCCCUCAAAAACUUUACUGAACUCCACCACUCUCUCUCUGAUGGAUAUUGAUGAAGAGAACAUUGAGGCCACGGAAAUGUCAACAGUCAAUCUAAGUGAUACGCAAGGUACAAAAAGUGCACCAAGUCCUUCAAAGAGAAAGGCUAAAGGUAUGCGAGUAGGUAAGAUACGUCAAAAGAGAUCCCGUGUUUGGACUUUGUUUGAAGAAUUGCCUGUGGAAGGCCGUAAUUCACCUGAAAAAUGGACGCAAAACCGUUGGGAAUGUCGAUGGAACUCGGGUUGGGUCGAAAUGGAGGAUUGGGUAAGGGAUCCAAUUGAUGGAUUUUUGAAUGAAAUGCACUCAACCCUAAAUUCCAGUGGGGGUGGCUGAAGCAGUUGUCCGAUAUGACAAAUGGCAGCCAAGGUUCCCUAAAUUGCCCAUUCCUUUAAUUUUAUGAAGUAUGACAAUUUGAUAUAUAUAUAUAUAUAUAUAUAUGUAUGUAUGUAUAUAUAUGUAUGUAUGUAUGUAUGUAUGUAUGUAGAGAACUUACACCUCUUGACAGAUUGUGUUGCUAGAUAGUCUUUCACGUACCUGAUUAAAAUAAAGUUCAUCAUGUUAUUCUAUCCAAAUAUUGAUUUGUUACAAC